This 1879-nucleotide ribosomal RNA is filed under the name Anseongella ginsenosidimutans. Its description in RNAcentral is "bacterial SSU rRNA". The stretch from base 357 to 1877 matches the Rfam family "Bacterial small subunit ribosomal RNA". Lineage: Bacteria; Pseudomonadati; Bacteroidota; Sphingobacteriia; Sphingobacteriales; Sphingobacteriaceae. The record is from RNAcentral.
AUCAGAAAAACUUUUCCUACCUUUGCAGCCCCGACGGGAAACCGGGAGGGAGUUUCCGCCAGACGGAUGGUCCGGCGGAUGAAAAAAUGAAGAAGACGAACAGGCAGCGCUGCGGAAGCGGUCCCUUUUAAAAGGGGAAGCGGAAAGCGGGAAAGCUGAUAAAAAGUUCUUUGAAAGAAUGAUCUUAAGAAAAGGUAGCAGUUCUGAGCUAUCGAGAAAUCGAUAGUGUGCUUACAAGGGAAGGGCUUCCGUACAGAUAUUAAGGGGCUGUCGCUUUCGGGCGACGGCCGCAGUCAGCUUCACUUCCGGGCGGUCGCAAGACGGAACGGGAGGGGAGAUGUGACAAAAGAGCAAAUACAACGGAGAGUUUGAUCCUGGCUCAGGAUGAACGCUAGCGGCAGGCUUAAUACAUGCAAGUCGAACGGUAGCAGGGCUUCGGCCCUGUGAGAGUGGCGCACGGGUGCGUAACGCGUAUGCAACCUGCCUUCAGUUGGGGGAUAGCCCGGGGAAACCCGGAUUAAUACCGCAUAACACAGGGGCCCCGCAUGGGGAUAUUUGUUAAAGAUUUAUCGACUGAAGAUGGGCAUGCGUCUGAUUAGCUGGUUGGAGAGGUAACGGCUCACCAAGGCAACGAUCAGUAGGGGAUCUGAGAGGAUGACCCCCCACACUGGUACUGAGAUACGGACCAGACUCCUACGGGAGGCAGCAGUAAGGAAUAUUGGACAAUGGGCGCAAGCCUGAUCCAGCCAUGCCGCGUGCAGGAAGACGGCCCUAUGGGUUGUAAACUGCUUUUGUAAGGGAAUAAACCCCCGGACGUGUCCGGGGUUGAAGGUACCUUACGAAUAAGCAUCGGCUAACUCCGUGCCAGCAGCCGCGGUAAUACGGAGGAUGCAAGCGUUAUCCGGAUUUAUUGGGUUUAAAGGGUGCGUAGGCGGCCUGUUAAGUCAGAGGUGAAAGGUUGCGGCUUAACCGCAGAAAUGCCUUUGAUACUGGCGGGCUUGAAUAAAGUUGAGGUAGGCGGAAUGUGGCAAGUAGCGGUGAAAUGCAUAGAGAUGCCACAGAACACCGAUUGCGAAGGCAGCUUACUAAGCUUUGAUUGACGCUGAGGCACGAAAGCGUGGGGAUCAAACAGGAUUAGAUACCCUGGUAGUCCACGCAGUAAACGAUGAGAACUAGCUGUUGGCGAUAGAAUGUCAGCGGCACAGCGAAAGCGUUAAGUUCUCCACCUGGGGAGUACGACCGCAAGGUUGAAACUCAAAGGAAUUGACGGGGGCCCGCACAAGCGGAGGAGCAUGUGGUUUAAUUCGAUGAUACGCGAGGAACCUUACCUGGGCUUGAAAGUGAGUGACCGGCGCUGAAAGGCGCCCUCCCUUCGGGGCACAAAACUAGGUGCUGCAUGGCUGUCGUCAGCUCGUGCCGUGAGGUGUUGGGUUAAGUCCCGCAACGAGCGCAACCCCUAUCAUCAGUUGCCAGCAGGUAAAGCUGGGGACUCUGGUGAGACUGCCUGCGCAAGCAGUGAGGAAGGAGGGGACGACGUCAAGUCAUCAUGGCCCUUACGUCCAGGGCUACACACGUGCUACAAUGGUAGCUACAGAGGGCAGCGACCUUGCAAAAGGGAGCCAAUCUCAAAAAGGCUAUCACAGUUCGGAUUGAGGUCUGCAACUCGACCUCAUGAAGUUGGAUUCGCUAGUAAUCGCGUAUCAGCAAUGACGCGGUGAAUACGUUCCCGGGCCUUGUACACACCGCCCGUCAAGCCAUGGGAGCCGGGGGUACCUGAAGGCCGUUGCCGCAAGGAGCGGCUAAGGGUAAAACUGGUGACUGGGGCUAAGUCGUAACAAGGUAGCCGUACCGGAAGGUGCGGCUGGAAUACCUCCUUUCU